This 5402-nucleotide long non-coding RNA is filed under the name Brassica napus (rape). RNAcentral describes it as "long non-coding RNA (BNAP_LNC023962)". The record is from RNAcentral. Lineage: Eukaryota; Viridiplantae; Streptophyta; Magnoliopsida; Brassicales; Brassicaceae.
AAAACCCUUGUUGCUCUCUCUAUUAAUACUUGUAAACCUCAUCAGAUAUUAAUCAAUGGAGUUUUUGAGUCUCUCUCUCUCUAUUCUUUAAAAUCUCUUAAUCUCUUUAAUAUCUCUUAAUCUCUUUAAUAUCUUGAUCUGAUUAUCUCUCAUUGUUUGAAUCAUACUCUUAAAACACAAAAGUGUUUAUGGUAUCAGAGCCAGGUUGUUCAAACAGGGGAGAGUGUGAUUUCGUUUUUCAUAAAAAUCUGAGUGUUCUUGAGUGUUCUUGAGUGUUCUUGGUGUUCUUGAGUUCUGGUCUUUAUUAUCUGAGUGGUGUGAGAUAUUCUGAUGGAUUCAAACUAUCUCAACAUGGAAAUGAAGCACAGAUCUAGUACAACCAUGGAGUGUGAAGAAGAGAGAGAUGGCGAUUGGUCAAGAUGGGCAAAGAGAGCUUUGGAAAGCUGUGGGUUAUGGAGUAGUCAUGGAAAGGGGAAACCUUUCAUGGAAAUGGCUACUGAAGAAGGUCAGACAAGAGGUCUGAAGCUGGAAAAUGAAGUUGUUCAAGGAAACACUACAAGGAGUGAGAUUGAAGCAACUUUAGGCAAGUCCAAGCUUGUGAGAGUCAUUGAGGACAGAGGGGUGAUCCGCGGCUUGAGACAAGGAAAGGAUGAGUGUUAUCAGCUUGUGGGAAGGCUGAGAGAAGUAUGGUCAGAGCUAGAUGUGGUGAAGACACACACAUCAAAUCCGAGAUGUUGUCAAGAAAGGAGGAAGCAAGAUGUGAUCUUCAGCUUCCUUAUGGAAGAGGUAUGUGAGCUUGUUAAAUAUACAUAUGAUGUGUGGGAAAUAAACAGGAAGCCAGAAAGAUGGAAGGGAGGUACAAGCUGUAAGAGGGGAAGGUUGAGAAAACUUUCUAAGGAGUGGUUAAUGAAGAGAAGAGCAUGGAGAAAGGAUAGCGAGUCUGAACACUUAAGUGACAGGAUGAGUGUAAUCUUGAAGAGAAUCAAGGAUGUACUUCAGCAGAUGGUUAUAGGAGAGUGUUCAUACUCAGCUUACAUGGGAGAGACAGUAGGAGACAGUGCGGACAUGAGAGGAAUGGAUACCAAGAGGGCAGAUGAGUUUGUGACAAAGAAGGAAUGGGAUGAGUUGGUUAAGCAUGUGUAUGCUUUGGCUACGACCCGGAGUCUGGGUGCUCCUGCCAAAGCAUCCACAUCUAAACCCAUCAUCAUUGAUUCUGGAGCAACACACCACAUGAUCAGUGACAAGAGACUAAUCAGUGAGGUUAAAGCAGCAACAGGGAGUGUCAUGAUAGCCAAUGGUACCAGGAUCCCAAUAGAAGGAGUGGGAAACCUCAAGCUGUUUGAGAAGAACUCCACUGCCUUCUACCUACCUCCGUUUACAUCCAAUCUAAUCUCAGUUAAGAAGGCUACAGUUGAUCUGGAUUGUCAAGUGGUUUUCAGACCAAAUGAAGUUGAGUUCCAGGAUUUAAAGACUGGAAGAGUUAUUGGCAGAGGAGACAGCAAGCAUCAGCUCUAUCAUCUCCAAACAACUGAGGCGCCUAGUCUUGUGGAGUCUGUGUGUUUAAGCAGCACAACGGAUAGAUGUGAUAAUCUCACAUGGCAUGCAAGGCUGGGACAUCCUCAUGCCAAGGCAAUUGAACUGAUUCUACCAAGUAUGGCGUUCAAUCACUUGGAGUGUGAAGCCUGUAUACUUGGAAAGCACUGUAGGACGGUCUUCCCAACAUCAGAGACCAGAUAUGAGAAUUGCUUUGAUCUGGUGCAUUCAGACGUGUGGACAGCUCCCUGUAUGUCUAGAGACAGCCAUAAGUACUUUGUGACCUUCAUUGAUGAGAAGUCCAAGUACACAUGGAUCACCAUGAUUCCCUCCAAAGACAGAGUCCUGGAAGCCUUCAUGAACUUCCAAGCAUAUGUUACUAACCAGUACAAUGCCACUGUGAAGAUUCUGAGGUCUGAUAAUGGAGGAGAAUACACUAGCAAUGCUUUCAAGAGUCAUCUUGCAAAGCAUGGGAUUGUGCAACAAACUAGCUGUCCUUACACACCACAACAAAAUGGGGUGGCUGAGAGGAAGAACAGACAUUUGAUGGAGGUUGCGAGAUCAAUAAUGUUCCACAUGAAUGUCCCUAAGAAGUUUUGGAGUGAUGCUGUUCAGACUGCUUGCUAUCUCAUCAAUAGAGUGCCAACACGUGUCUUGAAGAAACUGUCUCCCUUUGAAGUAUUAAACAAGGCCAAGCCACACAUAGAUCAUUUGAGAGUCUUUGGGUGCUUAUGUUAUGUGAUGAUUCCCGGAGAAAGAAGGAACAAGCUAGAAGCAAAGAGUACUAAAGCUAUGUUCAUUGGGUACUCAAUCACUCAGAAAGGGUACAAGUGCUAUGAUCCAGCAACCAGGAGAGUGUUGGUGUCUAGAGAUGUUAAGUUCAUAGAGACCAAGGGGUAUUAUGAAGAAAAGAAUUGGAAAGACUUGGAAGAUCUGUCUCAAGAACCAAGAAACAUGGCAGAGAAUCUGAGGAACAUAUUGGAAAGGCUUGGGGUAAACAUGUCCCAUGAUAAGGUUAGAGAACCUGAAAGAACAACUCUCCUUGAUCAUGAGGGGGGAAAUGAGUCUGAAUCAGGAGUGCAAGAGCAGCACCAAGGGGAUUCAGGUCAUCAUGAUCAAGUGGUGACACAAGAAGUAGAGAAUUUUCCUCAGGUCAGUGUGGAUGAGCAAGGAGAGGUUCAUGAUCAAGAGGAGGUGAGUGAGACAGAACCAGAGGGUCACGCAGAGGUUCAUACUGAGGAACAGGUUCAACCAUUGAGGAGGAGCACACGGAUAAAGAGGGAUGCUUCCAACUGGGUAAACACGAGAGUGUACUACAAUGCCCAGGCUGUGGAGCAUCCUUCUCAAGCUGUGUGUUCCUUUGCUGAGUUUCCAGAGGAGCAUCAUGCCUUUAUGAUUAGUCUGGAUGAGAGUUAUGUACCAAGGACUUAUGAAGAAGCUAUGUUAGACAAGGAAUGGAAAGAAUCAGUGGGAGCUGAAGCAGGUGCUAUGAUCAAAAAUGAUACAUGGUAUGAGAGUGAGCUGCCUAAGGGAAAGAGGGCUGUAUCUAGUAGAUGGAUCUUCACAAUCAAGUAUCUAGCAAAUGGACAGAUUGAUAGGAAGAAGACCAGAUUGGUUGCAAGAGGGUUUAAACAGACCUAUGGAGAGGAUUACAUUGAUACCUUUGCACCAGUAGCUAAGCUACAUACAGUUCGGAUUGUGUUGUCCAUUGCAACAAACUUGGAGUGGGAUUUGUGGCAGAUGGAUGUGAAGAAUGCUUUCUUACAAGGUGAGCUAGAAGAUGAGGUAUACAUGCUUCCUCCUCCUGGUCUUGAGCAUCUAGUAAAACCAGGAAAUGUUUUGAGAUUGAAGAAGGCAAUCUAUGGGCUGAAGCAGUCUCCUAGAGCUUGGUACAGGAAGCUGAGUACAACCGUGAAUGGCAGAGGAUUCAGGAAGUCUGAACUGGAUCAUACACUCUUCACUUUGGUUACUCCAUCAGGGAUCAUUGUGAUACUGGUAUAUGUGGAUGAUUUGAUUAUCACAGGGAGUGAUAAGGCUGGGAUUAAAGCCACUAAAGAGUUCCUCAAGUCUGUGUUUGACAUCAAAGACUUGGGAGAGAUGAAGUAUUUCUUGGGGAUUGAGAUAUGCAGAUCCAAGGAGGGUUUGUUUAUGUCUCAAAGGAAGUAUACAAUGGAUAUGCUAAAGGAGACUGAUGUACUUGGAGGAAAGGUAGCAAAGACACCUCUUGAGGAGGGGUAUAAGGUUUUGCGUGAGGGGGAGGUUGAAGAGAAGCAGUUAUUUAAGGAUCCUAAGCUAUACAGGAAGAUGGUUGGCAAGUUGAUCUACUUGACCAUCACACGGCCAGAUAUAUGUUUUGCAGUGAACCAAGUGAGUCAGCAUAUGCAGGCGCCAAAGGUACAUCAUUGGAAGAUGGUUGAUAGGAUACUGAGGUAUUUGAGUGGCACGCCUGGUCAAGGAGUUUGGAUGGGUUGCAAUGGCAGUACGGAAGUGGUUGCGUAUUGUGAUGCUGAUUGGGCAGGAGAUAGAGUGGACAGGAGAUCAACUACUGGAUAUUGUACAUUCAUUGGAGGGAACUUGGUUACUUGGAAGAGUAAGAAGCAAAAGGUUAUCUCUUGUUCAAGUGCUGAAGCUGAGUAUAGAGCCAUGUUGAAGCUGACAAACGAGUUGGUGUGGAUCAAGGGGAUCUUGAAGCAUCUAGAGAUUGAGCAGAGUACUCCUAUGACUAUGCAUUGUGAUAAUCAAGCAGCUAUCCACAUUGCCUCCAACUCAGUGUUUCAUGAGAGAACAAAGCACAUAGAGGUGGAUUGUCAUAAGGUGAGGCAGAUGAUUAUCUUAGGAGUGAUUAUGCCAUGUUAUACAAGGAGUGAAGAUCAGCUUGCAGAUGUGUUUACCAAGGCAGCGAGAUUGAAGACAAUGGAGUCCAUACUAUCCAGGCUUGGACUCAUUGAUCUUACUCCCAGGAGCUGAGCCCCUUAACCAUGGAGUCUCCACUCUUUUUCCCUCAUCAAAGUUUUAUCCCAAUGGGUUUUCUUUGGUGAGGUUUUUAAUGAGGGAGGUCUUCAUGGUUUCCAAGCUUGACUUGUUCCACAUGGUCAAGCUUGAGGGGGAGUGUUGAGAUGAGGUGAUGAGGAGUGGAUACAUUGAUAGAGGAAGAGUAUUGGGGUGGUCAGUAAGUUUGGGAUUUACCACAGUAACUUUAAAGUUACUGUGGUAACUAAGUGAAAGGAAGAGAAGUUACCAGGAUGGGUUAAAUUGGAGUCUAACUGAUGUUAAUCCUCUCUUAUCUUAAGAAGGACGUGGGAAGAGGAUAAGGAAGGGAUAAGGGCUUACUUUGACAGCCUGUAUGAUGCUGGAAAGGAGAGGAUGCUUUUUACUAGUGCAAGCAUGUGAGAAAGCACAGCCAAGUGAUUCAAAAGGAGUUCCAGCCUGUCCAUUGACUCCAUAUGCUUAUACAUUUCGAAAACCCUUGUUGCUCUCUCUAUUAAUACUUGUAAACCUCAUCAGAUAUUAAUUAAUGGAGUUUUUGAGUCUCUCUCUCUCUAUUCUUUAAAAUCUCUUAAUCUCUUUAAUAUCUUGAUCUGAUUAUCUCUGAUUGUUUGAAUCAUACUCUUAAAACACAAAAGUGUUUAUGGUAUCAGAGCCAGGUUGUUCAAACAGGGGAGAGUGUGAUUUCGUUUUUCAUACAAAUCUGAGUGUUCUUGAGUGUUCUUGAGUGUUCUUGGUGUGCUUGAGUUCUGGUCUUUAUUAUCUGAGUGGUGUGAGAUAUUCUGAUGGAUUCAAACUAUCUCAACAUGGAAAUGAAGCACAGAUCUAGUACAACCAUGGAGCUUGAAGAAGAGAGAGAUGGCGAUUGGUCAAGAUGGGCAAAG